This 376-nucleotide long non-coding RNA is filed under the name Mytilus galloprovincialis (Mediterranean mussel). The record is from RNAcentral. Lineage: Eukaryota; Metazoa; Mollusca; Bivalvia; Mytilida; Mytilidae.
CUGACGUUACGCUCGAUGUUGGUGUCACUUUUGGUAACGUCGUAACGUCAAAAUCAUGUUAUAUGAUUGACGUUUUGUAAUAUUGACGUCCAUUAUAUUUAACAACUUAACCACACGUUUAACUCUUGGUUUUCUGGUAAUAAAAGGAGAUACGGGUGUAUGCCAGGGGACCUCUAGACAAAUGGAAAUAUAUAUAAGGAAUACGUAUGGUGUUUUGUGAAAACAGAAAUUGUGGGAUUUACGCUACAUUCAAGUCCAUUCAUGCACAAUUUGUUUUAAAAUAAUGUUUACCGGUCGAAAAAACAAGAUUUUUUUAUUAUGAAAAUCGCACUGAAGAGGAGAAACCCUUACAAUUUUUAGAUUUUUUAUACUUGUU